AAUUAUGAAGCAAUCUGCAUUCAGUUUCGACCUGAAAGAUAGACAUUAUAGUCCUUAAUUA
Molecule: transfer RNA, 61 nt
Filed under: Loxoblemmus doenitzi
Lineage: Eukaryota; Metazoa; Arthropoda; Insecta; Orthoptera; Gryllidae
Description: tRNA-Arg
Source: RNAcentral